Molecule: long non-coding RNA, 373 nt
Filed under: Calidris pugnax (ruff)
Lineage: Eukaryota; Metazoa; Chordata; Aves; Charadriiformes; Scolopacidae
Description: lncRNA (ENSCPUG00000011189.1)
Source: RNAcentral
GUAGCUGAUGAGGAUAUGAUUAUUUUGCUUUUCAGUGAUUAAUUUUGCAAAUUUUAUUGCUUAAUAGAGAGUGUCCUGUGAAGUCUUGCUACAGCUUUCCAGUUAUCUCAGCCUACCCCAAGUGUGAACUUGCAACCUGCGAGGGCUACCCCAGUACUAACCAUAGGCAACCAUGAAAAUGAAUCAUUUGGCUUCACCCAAAAUGAUGGAUAAUCCUGCUAGAAGAGCAUGACAAUGAUAGACAGACAUCUUCUGAAGGAAAAGAAUGAUUCCGAGUUGAGUUUCCUUUGUAAAAUGCCUGGAAAAUGUAGAGGAAGAGGGAGAUGCUGUGGAGGGAGAUGAUGUGGUCCCCGUCUCGCUGGCAAAGGAGAAG